Molecule: ribosomal RNA, 1853 nt
Filed under: Triticum aestivum (bread wheat)
Lineage: Eukaryota; Viridiplantae; Streptophyta; Magnoliopsida; Poales; Poaceae
Description: partial small subunit ribosomal RNA
Source: RNAcentral
AGGGGGGAUGUAUAUGCGCGGCCGGUGUUGGAGCACGUUGUGGCGGGUGAAAGGGUCGACGAGGCGGUCGGCGGGCGGCGCGUGGACGAACGAAAGAACCAGCCAACGACCCCAAGGCCGCGGCGGGCCGAGCUAGGUCCUCGCGUGGCGGCCGCCGUCGGGACAGAAAUGAAGGGCCGGGUCGCCGGCGCGGCCUCCGCUCCCCCUAGCCGAUGGAGGCGUCGUUAGGUCGAGGGAGGCGCCGCAGGCUAAGGUCCGAAAGUAAAACAAGACGCAUACCACGCGGCGUUGAGGUAGUCGUACUAGAGACACCUGUUACUCAUCGACAGGAGCGAGCGUUCACAGGUGGGGGACACCAACGUAAGGAUAUGACCUAGUACCGCUUUGAGCGUCGACAGUCAGCGUCGCACAAAUCUAAAUGCUUGCUUUGGUACUCCUAACAAUACCAUUGCCAAUAGCCUCACCAGGAACCGAAGAAGUAACCUUAAAGUAAGGGCAGCCACUCGUAUUGUUUCGAUGUGAAGGGUAGGUCGAAACAAAGCAUGUAUCUCCUCUCCUUGAGACCCGAGUGCUGGGUUCGAAACGAAUUGGUACGGACCUUAAGUCAGUCUUUACGUUCCCUCUUGUGAAGGCUUGGUUUAUGUUUGUGAUGAAAUUUCUAAAUACAGGGCUGUUUGGGGUCCCCACGUCUCUCCGAUCGUGGUCCGUAACAACACGGUCUAUGACUGAAGGUAGACGCGUCCAACACCCCUCUGGGUUCACUCCUGGACGGUAAGUUUGGUUUCAUGGAACACUGAAAGUGACAACCUAUACGUGUCUUUCUUUUAUAUUUGUCUCGUCACUUCUUCAAAAGACUGUUAAAGCGAUAGGACAAUAAGGUGAUACUACCAGCACACUGGCUUACCCUGCUUAAACUCACCAGUUUCGCUCGGUAGGUAUAGUCACAGUCGUUUGUUUGAUUUACCACCAUACGGUUUUCUAAGAACGUGGGACUAUAACACCGUCGAAUACUCAUGUAUAAGUAGACCCUACUUCUGGAACCCCACCUAGUAAAGUUGCGUCUCCUCAUGUAGUUUGAACAAUUCUUUUUGCCAGACCUAUAGAGGGUCGGGCCGAACCUUGGACUGGCCCCUGAUUGAACCGUCUACUGGUUUUCUUCUCCACUGGCUCUCCACGUGUUCCUCUGUCUCCUUUCCGGUCCGACCACACGACUGGGAGUAGAAGGUGGAACACGUCGCAAACAACUUUAUUACCGAGGUCAGAAGAGUUCCCUCCGUACCGCCACACAUACCGUAUACUAAGUCUUACUAAACCAGGUACCUACCCCAGAGCUGAAGCGGGAGUCCUUUACACAUCUCGGACGAGUACUCUUCUAGCCUCAGCAGCUAAGGGUCACCUAGCAAGUGGUCCACCAAGGAAGAGAGCCCUUGGUCCCGUUCCGCCUCCCGCCCUUCGGCCGCACCCUUCCCCACUCCCGCGCCACGGCCUUCCUCACCCCGUACAAGGUCUACUCCUACCGCCUACGGCUCUUCCGGAUGAUGUUCUACUACCCGUAGUGGGGAGGUUUGAGGUGUGAACAGAUCGAAUCGACUACCGAGCAGAGCCAGGAGGAGCAGAGGUACAAAAGAGAGUCACCUACUGUACUGUUCGGGACUGAGGAGAUGAGCCUACUACCUCUACUGCUACUGCUACUGCUGCUGCUGCUACUUACAUAUCCAAAAUCUACGUACAUCUCAAUGUACUACCACAAUACAUAGUUGGUUGUAAUGUCACGCGAACAGCUGAGUACCAGGAAAGACUGACAGUUAGAGUACUCUCUUAACCGAGCUCUUAAAGCUCUUUGGAACAGAAAA